AUCCCUUACUCACGUGAGCAGUC
This 23-nucleotide microRNA is filed under the name Columba livia (rock pigeon). RNAcentral's name for it is "cli-miR-1729-5p". Lineage: Eukaryota; Metazoa; Chordata; Aves; Columbiformes; Columbidae. The record is from miRBase by way of RNAcentral. RNAcentral also lists the same sequence under 1 other name.